UGCAGCGAAGCAAACACCGAAAGAGAUGAAUUCCCGGGUUACAAUGAUCUUCAUUUACAUCGUCCUCGCCUUCUCGUCCUGUACCCUUCCUCAGGGAAGCGCUGAGAACUUGGAAGACUUGUCUCUCGGUUCUCCAAUGCAUUAGAAGCCCUAUAAAAACAAAUCGGAUACAAGUUCAAGAACAUAGAACCUCUUCGUCGGGUAGUGACCCACCCCUCCUACUCCGGAGAGAACUACAGAGCUUUAGCUAUUUUGGGUAUGAACGUCAUCCAAAUUUCAACGUCUCUCCGCUACCUCCAACGGGAUAUAUAUAGAGAUGUCGGCCAAAGAGUAGAAUUGUCAGGUAACUGAUGUCUCAGAAAUGCAAUCUUCUUGCGCUGCCGACGCGUUGCGGUUAGAGUUGGACAAAGUGGUGAGGGUUUAGGAAGACAGACUCUACCCUGCCGUCCGUCCUUUGUGGUGCUUCGUGCUUACCGAGACAUCUUUGGUGCCAUUGCCCUGGACAUGGGUAAGCCUGAUGCCGCGGCCCGCGGGUAGUGUGUUCUGGCCUUCUGCCCUUCUGGGAUGUUCACGAUGCUGGCGAUUUUCAUGCAGAGGAGCACCAUGUUGUUGGAAAUGUUGCUCUCUAACCUCUAAUACAUAAAUAAGUUUUUGUUCUUCCGUCAAUCAGAGAUUUACUGUUACUGUGUGUCUAUCCUAGCCUGUUUCUUGUGUCACUCCUUGGUGAAAUGUUCAAACAAUAAUUUUUUUCUGUGUUAGAGAUCUUGUAGCCACUAGAAAUGUCUAUACUUUUCUUUGGUAAGAAAGAAAUGUUUAUGUUUAAAUGCUAAGAAAGUUCAGUA
Non-coding RNA from Nelumbo nucifera (sacred lotus), 842 nucleotides. The record is from RefSeq and is a predicted model, not a curated record. NCBI's taxonomy places the organism in Eukaryota, Viridiplantae, Streptophyta, Magnoliopsida, Proteales, Nelumbonaceae.